Molecule: ribosomal RNA, 252 nt
Filed under: uncultured bacterium
Lineage: Bacteria
Description: partial 16S ribosomal RNA
Rfam family: Bacterial small subunit ribosomal RNA
Source: RNAcentral
UACGGAGGAUGCGAGCGUUAUCCGGAUUUAUUGGGUUUAAAGGGUGCGUAGGCGGGAUGCCAAGUCAGCGGUAAAAAUGCAGUGCUCAACGCCGUCGAGCCGUUGAAACUGGCGUUCUUGAGUGGGCGAGAAGUAUGCGGAAUGCGUGGUGUAGCGGUGAAAUGCAUAGAUCUCACGCAGAACUCCGAUUGCGAAGGCAGCAUACCGGCGCCCUACUGACGCUGAGGCACGAAAGCGUGGGUAUCGAACAGG